This 350-nucleotide unclassified non-coding RNA is filed under the name soil metagenome. RNAcentral describes it as "partial contains 5.8S ribosomal RNA, internal transcribed spacer 2, and large subunit ribosomal RNA". The stretch from base 1 to 120 matches the Rfam family "5.8S ribosomal RNA", at positions 35 to 154 of the family's 154-position model. The record is from RNAcentral.
GAUGAAGAACGCAGCGAAAUGCGAUAAGUAAUGUGAAUUGCAGAAUUCAGUGAAUCAUCGAAUCUUUGAACGCACAUUGCGCCCGCCAGUAUUCUGGCGGGCAUGCCUGUUCGAGCGUCAUUACAACCCUCAGGCCCCCGGGCCUGGCGUUGGGGAUCGGCGGAAGCCCCCUGCGGGCACAACGCCGUCCCCCAAAUACAGUGGCGGUCCCGCCGCAGCUUCCAUUGCGUAGUAGCUAACACCUCGCAACUGGAGAGCGGCGCGGCCACGCCGUAAAACACCCAACUUCUGAAUGUUGACCUCGAAUCAGGUAGGAAUACCCGCUGAACUUAAGCAUAUCAAUAAGAGGA